RNAcentral lists this ribosomal RNA (407 nucleotides) under uncultured bacterium. RNAcentral describes it as "bacterial SSU rRNA". It matches the Rfam family "Bacterial small subunit ribosomal RNA", at positions 355 to 776 of the family's 1533-position model. The record is from RNAcentral.
UGGGGGAUAUUGCACAAUGGAGGAAACUCUGAUGCAGCAACGCCGCGUGAGGGAAGAAGGUUUUCGGAUUGUAAACCUCUGUUUUUAGUGACGAAACAAAUGACGGUAGCUAAAGAGGAAGCCACGGCUAACUACGUGCCAGCAGCCGCGGUAAUACGUAGGUGGCAAGCGUUGUCCGGAAUUACUGGGUGUAAAGGGUGCGCAGGCGGGACUGUAAGUUGGAUGUGAAAUGCCGAGGCUUAACCACGGCACUGCAUCCAAAACUGCGGUUCUUGAGUGAAGUAGAGGUAGGCGGAAUUCCGAGUGUAGCGGUGAAAUGCGUAGAUAUUCGGAGGAACACCAGUGGCGAAGGCGGCCUACUGGGCUUUAACUGACGCUGAGGCACGAAAGCAUGGGGAGCAAACAGG